GAUCAUGCUCAGGAUGAACGCUAGCUACAGGCUUAACACAUGCAAGUCGAGGGGCAGCAUGGUCUUAGCUUGCUAAGGCCGAUGGCGACCGGCGCACGGGUGAGUAACGCGUAUCCAACCUGCCUUACACUCUUGGACAGCCUUCUGAAAGGGAGAUUAAUACAAGAUGUUAUCAUGAGUAAGCAUUUUCGCAUGAUUAAAGGUUUACCGGUGUAAGAUGGGGAUGCGUU
This 230-nucleotide ribosomal RNA is filed under the name uncultured bacterium. RNAcentral's name for it is "partial 16S ribosomal RNA". It matches the Rfam family "Bacterial small subunit ribosomal RNA", at positions 15 to 237 of the family's 1533-position model. The record is from RNAcentral.